Molecule: ribosomal RNA, 169 nt
Filed under: uncultured Clostridium sp.
Lineage: Bacteria; Bacillati; Bacillota; Clostridia; Eubacteriales; Clostridiaceae
Description: partial 16S ribosomal RNA
Rfam family: Bacterial small subunit ribosomal RNA
Source: RNAcentral
CCUACGGGAGGCCGCAGUGGGGAAUAUUGCACAAGGGAGGAACCUGAGACGCAGCAACGCCGCGUGAAGGAAGAAUGCUUUCGGGUUGUAAACUUCUUUUAUCGGGGACGAAAAUGACGGUACCCGAGGAACAAGCCACGGCUAACUACGUGCCAGCAGCCGCGGUAAU